RNAcentral lists this long non-coding RNA (12306 nucleotides) under Lynx pardinus (Iberian lynx). Lineage: Eukaryota; Metazoa; Chordata; Mammalia; Carnivora; Felidae. The record is from RNAcentral.
CUCACCCACCACUAGAUCAAGACACUGAAACUGAGAAGAGUUCCUUCCUUAUUUACAGCUUUAUUCUUGACAUCCCUCUUUGAGACCAAAACGAUUGUGGAGCUGACUCGUACCUGGAGUAAUUACAAAAUACCACGGUCAUAACAACAAGAGCCAAAAGAAGUAUCGACCAUCGUUUUACUUUUCAACUUCUGAGGUCACCUACAACACAGUGCAAGAAAGCACAAUUGUGCAUUCACGAGUUGACUGUACCAACCUCUGUAAAAAUUUAGGAACGAGCACAUCCAAGUAAGUGGAUACUUCUUUAUCUCACAGAGUAAAAUCAAGCAUUUUCUACUUUAAAAUUAUUUCUGUGUAAAACAAAGACAGAACUCUUGGAGGUCAAACAAGGAAAACAGAUAGCAAGUGGAACGCACCGUUAAGUCAUGAAACAAAGAAGAAUCUGCAGUAGAAGUCAGGCAGUAUAAUCCACAACCUUUUUAGAGGAGUACUUAUUCCCAGCAACCAUCACAUCUCUGGUAAGAUCUCAUUAAAAAAAAAAAAAGUCACAGGUUCUAAAAAGUUAAUAAUCCACUCUCUGAAAUCAGGUAUAAAACUAUGACCAACAGAAGAUACACAGAGUAAACGGUUUUACUAAAAGCUGUUGACGUUUCCACCAGCAGUAACCAUAGGGAGCUGGCUGGUUGUAACCACAGUGUCCAUAUCCAUGGGGGUAGUAAGUUUCAUGUCUAUACUGCAGGUAACUGUUACCCCAGGAUUGUCCAUGCCGCUGAUUGGAUCGAGUGUCAGUUUGCCACCCCCACCGGUUUGACCUCUAAACAGUCUAUUACCUUGCAACUGAUUGCCUCUGUGUCUCUGGCUCCCAGCAGCUCGGCUGUUCUACUCCUCAACAAUUGGAAGGAGACCCAGGAGGGCUCUUCAGGUAUUCAUGGUACUCUUUGCCAUCUUCUGUGAAUGUACUGGCAAACGUCUCUUCAAAAUUUGGAACAGCUUCAGAAGGGUCUGUAUUCCUGAAAUUCCCAGCAACUUAAGGCAGCUUUACUGUUUAAUGUUUAUGUUGUUUCCAUCUCCGGCCCACAGUGUGGCCAAAGGAUCUCCCAGUACUUCACCUCUCCAAGGUAACGGAGCCACUCCCAUUACUAUUCUUUUUUUUUUUUUUAACAUUUAUUUAUUUAUUUUCGAAAGAGAGAGACAGAGACAGAGACAGAGACAGAGCACAAGCAGGGGAGGGGCAGAGAGAGGAGGGAGACACAGAAUCCGAAGCAGAUUCCAGGCUCUGAGCUGUCAGCACAGAGCCCGACUUGGGGCUCAAACCCAUGAACCAUGAGAUCGUGGCCUGAGCCGAAGUCGAAUGCUCAACCACUGAGCCACUCAGGCGUCCCCCCCCCCAUUACUAUUCUUUUAAACAGAUUUUUUAAAUUUAUGAAAAAAUAAUAUUUUAAAUUUACCUGUAUAUUGAAUUUCCGGUACCUCUUGCAGAUCCAGGUUCCAUCUUGGAUGCUUUCCCUUAAACCUUAAGAACUUCCUUAGCAUUUCUUGUAGUGCAGGCCCAUUGGUGCAAAAUGUUGUGAGAUAUUUUUUCUUCUAAAAUGUCUUUAUUUUUCCUUUAUUUUGAAGAAUAUUUCCACUGGGUAUAGAAUUUAGGUUGCAAGGUUUUUGGUGUGUGUGUGUUUUUUUUUAAUUUGUAAGUAAUUUUAGAAUUUCAAAGAUACUAUUACAUUGUCUUAUGGCUUUCAUUCUUUCUUUUUUUUAAUAAAACUUUUUAAUGUUUAUUUAUUUUUGAGAGAGAGACAGUGUGAGUGAAGGAGAGGGAGACACAGAAUCCGAAGCAGGCUCCAGGCUCUGAGCUGUCAGCACAGAGCCUGAUGCAGGGCUUGAACCCACGAACCAUGAGAUCAUACCCGAGCCAAAGUUGGAUGCUUAACCGACUGAGCCAUCCAGGUGCCCCAGCUUUCAUUGUUUCUGAUGAGAAAUCAGCUAUCAUUUUUUUUUUCAGCUGUCAUUAUAGAGUUAUUCCCCUGAAUGUAAUGUGCAGUUUUUCUCUAGCUAUAUUUAAGUUUUACUCUUUUUGGUAAUCUAACUAUCAUAUGUCUAGGAGUGGUUUGUGUUUUCUCUGACUGGGAUUUACUGAAUUUCUCAGAUCUGUGAGUUUGUGUCUUUCAUCAAUUAAAGAAAAUCUUGUCCGUUAUCUCUUUAAAUAUAGAAGAGACAGUUCUAUACUUUAUUAUCUCUCUUUAUUUUGCCCCAUUCCUUCAAUUCCUUAGAGUCCUAAGCUCCAUUAACAUGUAUUUUUAACCAAUUUAUAGUUCCACACAUCUUGGACAUUCUUUUAUUUUCCAUUCUUUCCUCUCUAAUUUGGAUAAUUUCUAACAAAGUAUCUUCAAAUUAGCUGAUCCUUUCUCUUCUGUAUCCAUUAUGCUGUUAAGUCUAUCGAAUUUUUCAUUUCAGAUAUUGUAUUAUUUUUACUUCCAGAAUUUUCCUUCUAUUAAUUUUUUUAUAGUUCCCAUUUCUCUGGUGAGAAUUUUCAUCUACUCACCUGUUCUGUCCAUCUUUUCACAUUUUUUUUCAUAAAUUGUUUUCUAUAUUUAUAAAAAGUCUUAAAGUUUUAAAGUCUUUAUCUGCUAAUUCCAACAUCUAGGUCAUCUGUUGGUCUGCUUCUAUUCACUUUUUUCUCGAUUAUGUCUCAUAUUUCUUGGCAUAUCUAGUGGUUUUUCACUGUAUACUUGACAUUGUGGAUGACACACUGUAGAAACUCUGGAUUGUGUUACCUUUCUCUAUAAAGAGCAGACAUUUGCUUAUUAUUCUGGUAGGCAGUUAAAUUUGUGGCAGAUUACUUUGAUCCUUUGGAAGGCUGGCUUUAAUCUUUGUUAAGACAGCUCUGCUUUGGGUUGCCUGGGAGGCUCAGUUGGUUAAGCAUUUUACUUUCGACUCAGGCUCAGGUCAUGAUCUCAUGUUUCCUGAGUUUGAGCCCCAUGUCAGGCUCUGCGCUGACAGUGCAGAGCCUGCUUGGGAUUCUCUGUCUCCCUCUCUCUCUGCCGCACACACUCUCUCUCUCAAAACUAAAUAAACUAAAAAAAAAAAAAACAGGUCUGCUUCGGUUUUCUUCUUUGCUCCAGAGUAUACUCUCCUGUAUCAUGCAUAUUUAAAAGUUCUCAUAUAUUAUGACAUAUUUAAAACUUUUCUAUCUGGGGAGAGACUGCCCCUUCCGGGGCCAGCCAAUUGUUAAGAUGCCAAAAAGCUCAUCGGGAAGCAUGCCUCUGAUCUGCAAACUAACCAGUCUGGAGCCAGAACUCCCCUAUCUGGCCCCUGCACCCGGGAGGCAGUAUUCUUCUGUCUUCGUUUCAGAGCCAGGGACAUACCCUACAGCUUAGGGCCUGAUGGAAUUAUUCAACCAGGCCAGUCCUAGGCUGUCUGCCCUGCCAUCUUGCCUUUCUUUCCUACAGAAAUCCCAGUAAAGGUCUCGAUUUCCACUUUCCCCUUACUCCUGAUGAUUCUGGUGCUUCCUCAUGUGGCCCGCAUGGCAUUGUGCCUCCCAUUUCUGGGACCCACGAGCAUAGAAAACUUGUUCUUUCCUGAAUCUCUCCUGCAUGUCCUCUUGUGGCUGCACCUCAGGGAGCAUCACAGAAAAGGACACAGAAGACUCUUAGCCUGAAAUGUGACCAAUACCCCCAGGGGUGUCCCUUCUGGGUAAGCCACAGUGUCUCUCAAGCCCUUCGCACUCGAUGGAAAUCGAACUCCAAACUGUCUCCAGCACUGGGCAGCCCGGGACCUCCUCAGCUAUUCAGCUUUCCAGCUGCUGAUUUCUGGGUGCGGGGGUGGGGGGGUGUAGUUAAGAGGCACACACGUGUAGCUAAGAGCCAGCCAAGACUGUGAAAUGUCUUUGCGCAAACUCAGGUGAGAGGUCCAGUCUGGUGCAUCCCUCCCUUCUGGGAUUUUCUCUUCAGUUUCCAGCCCUCUGGUAGCAUCAACCUCCAAAUUCUCUCUCUUUAUCUUGGUAAAAUCGCCACAUUUUGCUUGACCCUAGUGUCACGAGCCCUGAGGGGGCUGGGAUGUGCUGUCGCGGAGAAGUCAGAUGAAUGUGGCUAAAUGGUAUCCGCUGGUUUGCUUCCUUUAUUUCAACGAUUGUGUCCUUCCAGCUUCUGUCCGCUUCUACUUGCUGCUGCUGCCUUCACACUAUUGUUCUUCAUAUUUGAUAUAGAGUUUAUCAUUGUUAUUAGCAGGAGGGUUUGUCCAACCGAGGCAACUCCGCCAUGGCCGAAAACAGAUUUUCCAAAAUAUUUUCCUGAUGUGCAAAUGAGUCCACAUCAAAUGAUGUGGAAUCAAAAUCAGAAAUCCUUACAAAUUGAGAAAGCCAUAUUUUCUCACUGUUGUUGUAAAAUAAUUUUGGUCACCUCUACUUCCUAGUAUCCGUAAAUUACAGAACUCUAAUAGUUGUAAUUGAGUGGACACUCUGUACUUGGAGAGCAAUGGAGCAGAGUGAUCGGUUCCUCACACACACCCUCCCUUCCCUGUGUUUAAUGGACGUAGCAUCACACAGAACUCCUAGUGGUUCACUUGAGCGACAAAAACAAUUUCUAUAAGCUUGUCUGGGAAAGAAAAGUUACUUUUCGACACUUUGAUAUUGGAACCAAUAUUUAAACUGAUGGGAUUCCUUACGUUGUCAAUAAAAUGACAGAUAGUUAAAAUGAAAGAACCAAUUUCUGCUCCCAAAGCUCGCUCAAAUCAUGUUUUCCUCAACGAUGGCUGGGCUCGAGCAGCUUCCAGAGACCUGGGUGUGGACGCUGCGUGGGCGGCAGAGCGCCUCUGCGCACACACAGGCCACCGUACUCGGUUUCUGAAAACACCCGCUUCAUCUGACAUGGAGCAGAGUGUCACCGGAGGACAGUCGAGCCAAACCCAACACUGGAGCUCUGACACAUCCGGUAAUAAAACGUUUAGCUUGGCUUGGAAAUGCUACUUGCAAUGUUUCCACUCCUUCUCAAUCUCCAUCUUUCAUUUCCUUCGUCCCUGAUUCUUCCACUGGUACUUGCAGUUUUCACACAGAGUUUCUUCUCUCUUGAUGCUCAGUACAGUCUGAUAGUUACCAUUAAACAACAACAACAACAAAAUGGGAUACCUGGGUGGCUCAGUCGGUUGAGUGUCCAACUCCUGGUUUACGGCUCAGAUCGUGAUCUCGUGGUUCGUGAGAUCGAGUCCCACGUCAGGCUCUGUGGUGACAGCUUGGCCCCUGCCUGGGACUCUCCCUCUCUCUCUGCCCCUCCCCUACCCGCUUGCUCUCUCUCUCUUUCUCAAAAUAAAUAAAUCAUCAUGGAAAAAAUAAAAACAUAAUAGAAAAAUAAAAAACCACAAAGGAAAGGAAAACACAUUCAUCGGACUUCAAGGAAGAAACAAAGCACAGCACCUCUGAGAACAAUCCAAGCCGACGCAGCUGUCUUUUCCUCUGAAAAUGCGCUCUGUCACCUGCUCUAGGAGGCGGACCAAGACCAACAGGACGGCUGUGAUGCAGUGCAGAGUGCUUGCGGACAGAAGUCCUGCCGCUGCUUUCCAAGGACCGGUGCAAACACAGCCGCUUGGAAUCUCCAUCCUGCUCCCACUCUGAGCCAGGGACCCCAUGGAUUCACAGAAUCGCAGUACCCCGGAUCUGGAAGGGACGGAAGGGAUUACUUAAUCCGAUUUGUACCUAUCAUCGUGAGAUUCUCCUUCAAAAUACCCUUGAAGGACAGCUCUCAAGUUCCCACCUGUGACCAGAGUCCAUGGUUUCUCACCUCAGCCCACCCCACCUCUGGACAGUGUCAGUGGCUAGAAAUUUCUUUCUGGCAUUAACUAAAAUCCUCAUUUCAGGACUGGUACUCAUUGGCCCUUGCCCUCUACAAAUCUACAGUUACCUAACAGUAAAUAUAGACAGGCGAGAGAUUGCACUUUCUUUCUGUAAGUCAACUUAGACUUACAUCCAAGUCUCCCUCUGGUAGUGUCCAUGGCAACAUUCUGUCCCAGUGGUUAUAAAAUUCCCGGCCAACACCCGACGACCCCAGGGCAAUGAGGAGUUCCCAGGGGCCUACGCAGAGCCAAAUAUUCAGGGACAUUCUUAUUUCAGUCCUUUCGUGUGUGCUCGUUGCCAGUGGAAUGCUCAGGGUCCCGUUGGGGCCGUUGUGGGUGCGGCUGCUCGGCCAUCCCAGGUCCUGCCACCUCCCAGGGCACCUUCACGGAGGGGGGCAGGUUAGUAACACGAGGCAGGUCACCUACACCUGUUCUAUUCCUCCCAGGAUAUCUUUUCCUCCUAAUUCUUUUUUUUUUUUUUUUAGUUUAUUUAUUUAUUUUCAGUGAGAGAGAGAGAGAGAGAGAGAGAGAGACAGCAGAGGAGGGGCAUAGAGAGAGAGAGAGGGAGAGAGAGAAUCCAAAGCAGGCUCCAUGCUGUCAGCACAGAGCCCAAUGUAGGGCUCGAACUCAUGAACCGUGAGAUCACGACCUGAGUCUGAACCAAGAGUUGGACGCUUAAUCGACUGAGCCACCCAGGUGCCCCUCUCCUAAAAGUACCUACUUCUUGAAAGUACCACUCCUGUCUACCCUACCACAGGAAACUGUUGAAUUCCUUACCAGCUUCCAUAAAAGUCAGGGAGGGCCCUUGUCAUCCAGCCUCCUGGCACAGCCCCAGGCAAUGAAAUUCCACUUGCACACUUGCCUGAAGUGUGGCGGGGCAGCAGGGAGGCCGGAGAGGAAGGUAAACACAGAGGCCCAAACACAAGUUUUAACUGCCACACGAAGCACAAAUAAAUCCUUUUCUCCAUUUCCUUCCGAGUAUUUGUCACUACCUAUCACGUUUGCCUCAAAUGCUACCACCCAGUUCAGAAACCAUUCCUGGUGCCUUCACUGAUUCCCCCAAAACAGAGUUUCCAACUUUUCCAUCCCUGUCUCAACCUGCUACCACUUGUCACGCCUUUUAACGUAUGGUGCCAACACCCGUGGAGCGCAGGCGUGGUGUGGCCCAGGAUGCGAAUCGCGGAGCCGGGCGAGCGCGCCCUCUGGACGACACACGGUAAUUGCGUGACAGUGCGUCCGUCCCCCACCCACCUCGUGCGGUCGCCCCUCGAGACUGCAGCCAACACGCAACUGCACACUCUCUUCCAGCACCUUCUCCGGGGUGUCGCUUGGAGCGGCCCCCCGUGAAGCUCUCCUCCGUGGCUGCCUCGCUCCUGAGAGAAGCCGUCUCCGUCCCUUCGGUUUGUCGGCCGCGCUCCUCGGAUCCCAAGGAGUUUCAGCAUUUCGGAAAUCACCAAAAGCGGGUGGAGCUGUCAGACGCCGGGCUUUGAGGGGGCUCGGCCUCUCCACCUUCCGUGACUUGUCUCUGUGUUUGUUUGAUUGGAAGCAACUCGGUAAAACCUUCUCUCUGCGUCCACAGUUGAGAUGCCCACGUGGGGCUAAACCCUAUCAGUUUGGGGCUAAUUGGAGGAAAGGCCGAUGGAAUUAGCGGGAAGUCGAGUACCUUAACCAAAAUUCGCUAAUAGAGGGUUGCCAAGGAGAACAAAAUUCUUUGGAAACUUUCUAAGAACUGUUUUAAUUAGCAUACAAAUUGUUCGUCUGGCAUCGCUAUAAUGUUUGGCCUCAAUUUGCUCUCAAGUAACAGGACUUGCUUUAGAAAGCCUUUUUAUUAGCUUGAAGCUACACUACGGCUGGAGCCCGUAUGGUUACUACAAAUUACCAGGUUCCACAUUAAUGAAGCGUUCGUGCCUGAGGAUUAUAGGGUCUUGGAGACAGAGAAGAUCUCCGUGGAUAUUGAAUCUAAAUUUCUCCCCGUUGCUAAAAGCCUCUGCUUGAAUAUUUUUCCUGAGCGCUAUGAGCAUAUAUUACACGAUAUAUGGAAGGAAGGGGGGAGAGAGAGGAAGAGGGAGAAAUGUUUUUAUUUUUGAUUGAGUCAAAAUCCUCCUCGGGUCGAUUUCCACCUCCCUGCUUCAGCCCUGCGCUGGGAAACACCGCACAAGAAGACACAGCCCGCUCUUCUGAGAACUUUUCACCACAGGCUCGGCAGAGCCGGGUACCUGGGCCAGCAGGCGUAGCCUCCGCCCUCUCGCUAACCACCGUGGCCUCUGUCCUUCCUGGGAGGCACCCCCCACCCCCAGUGCUCGGGGGCCAGGGAGCACCUGUGGAGAGCGGCGGACCAGUGUCUGCACCCCAUCCCCACGUGACCUCCAUGGGGAGUACUGUGUGCAGCUCACCCCACGCAGGGCUCGGACCGUGCAGGUGACCAGUAACUACCUCGUUAUCUCUGCCCCCUCCCUUCCCAAUCAACAUGGGGACGGGGUGCCUCCAUAGAACACCCAGACAUUCUUUCUCCCCGAGAAGGUGUGUCGCGGAGAAGCACAGGCUGCCGAGAGACGCCAUGGGCUGGGGGGGUUCUUCUCCGCCUCCCUGGCCCACAGGAAAUCUCUGCCCUCAACCGGGUUCUUAAUCUUGGCGGCACAUAGAAUCACUCAGGGGCUUUAAACACGGUGAUGUCCAGGCCACGCCGGGACCGGUGAGGCUGAUUCACCCAAUUUGGCCCUGAAAAAGCACUUAUCGUGCUACCUCUCGCUUCCUUUGUUUCAGGCAUUAUCCACUGACUUUCAUUUUGUGUGCUGGGAUUUUGGCUGUUCAUUGCAUGUGCACACGCAUGCACACACACAGGCGCACACACAUGAGCACACAUGCACACACACACACAGGCACCGGCACACAUGUGCACAUAGGAGCACGCACAGGCACACACGCACACACAGGUGCACACACGAGCACACACAGGCACGCACACAGGCACACGCAGGCAUGCACACAGGCACACACAGAUGCGCACAUGUGCACACACAGGUGCAUGCACAAGCACACACAGGUGCCCACACACGCACACGUGCACACACAGGCACACAAGCGCACACACAUGCUCACACAGGUGCACACACAAGCACACGUGCACACGAGCACACACACACACACACAUGCACACACGAGCACACACGCAUAUGAGCACACAUGCCCCAGCCAUGAGUUCUCAACGUGCUCCCUCCUAAAUAUUUGGUUCUUUGCCUUCUCUCUGUGUAAACACUAUCCACAUAGAAAACUACGACUCCAUUUCCUUUCUUGCACAUUUUUUCUCCCCAAAGUGAGUAACUGUCUUGGUCUUUCAGUUGUUCAACCUUCCGCGCACUCGUCAUGAACUCACUGCACGCUCCACCGUGAGCACAGCCGUCUCCCUCACGGGCACAGACACACCUGGCCUUCGCUGUCUCACCUUCUCUGUGCUGAGGUCCCGCAGGCCUCGGUCCUCCUGCCCCUGUCUGCACGACUGUACCCAGGGCCCACCCAGGAGUCGCGGCAUGGCUUCUUGUCAACUGCGUCAGGUUCCUCGUUCCAGAUCCCGGGUGCUGUGCUUCCUGUUUACUCCCAUCCCUCCCCUGGCUUCCUGAGGGAGUGCGUGCGAGGUCAGGGCGUGGAGACCCUCCACGUCUGCAGAUCUCGAUAGUGACGGGUCUGGAUGCAAAGUGCCCUCAGAGUGCUGGGGCCUCGUGCACGACCUCCUGACGCCCAGGGCUGUAGUGGGUGGCAUCACGUCGCAGCAGGCACUCAGGCCCCAGCCGGAGUUCCCCAACGCCUGCAGGUGCCCCUCACCCCUCCGGAUGGACCUGUUCCCCGUUUUGGCCGGGACUCCUUUUCCUGAGAACUCUCGCCGGUCCCCGCAGCACGAGUGUGUCCUGUUACCUCGCUCUUUCUCACCCUUUUCCUCUUCGGAUUUUGAGAAUUUAAAAAAAUUCACCUUCCAACAAUUCUGCUGCCGAGCUCGGCAUUUAUGCUAUUGGAGGUUCUUUGUUUUGUUUUGUUUUGUUUUACAAAAGCUUUCCCCCCUUUUCAUGCCUUUCCGGGUGCUCCUUUUUAAGGCAUUCUGUUCUUGUUUCAUGAGUGCGAUAUCUACUCUCCUCUCUCUGAGGAUACGAAUUCAAGCAUUUUCAUUUCUUCCCCCUGCAUUGUGUCUAUUUUCUCUGGAUGUUUGUGCCUUUCUCCUCCUUGUUCUGGUGUCUGAAUUCGAUGUUGGGUGCUCUCCUCCAGAGUCUGAUAGUUCUGGGCCGUCCACUCAUAAGAGCAGGGCUGGUGGGCUGUUGGUAGCUCCGUGUGCGUGGUCACCAUCGGAUGGACCGCUGAGGAGGUGCCAUGGGCCCUCACUUAGAAACUGUGGACAUUUCUCACAUCUUGUGAGGAUGACACAGUCCUGAGGCCGCUCACUUAACCCACUCCGGGAGAGACCUUCUCUGUGACCCCAACCAGGCAGCAAGCCUUCUCCAGGCCUCAGCUGCCUUCCUGCGACAGGUGGAGGGAAGGGACCUCAAGUUUCCCAGGAGCCUUUUGCUUUGAGGCCGACCUGGUCCCUGCCUUCCUGGGCCCCUGCCGCCGUCCGCUUCCGUGCCAUUCCGGUGCUGUGGUGUGAGUGCUUGCCUGCUGGCCUCCCUCGCAGUGUCAGCUGUUCUGGGCCUGAGGAACCCGUCACCACUCCUCAGUCUGUUUCCCGGCCCCCACAGCCUCCUUGCUCUGGCUUCCUGUCCCCUUUCUCUGUAGGGACCUGCACCACAUUCUUCUCUCCCCUUUUCCUCCCCCUCCUCCUUCUCUCCCUCUCUGCCUCCUGUCAUCUGAAGAUUCAGACAGGAGCACAGGAAAAACCGAGCCUUCACGUCAAGGAAGCCCCUGGGCUCCUUUCCACUCUUCAAACAACGCUAUGCUCCAAGCUCGGGGUGAGUCACGAAGUCCACAGAUCCACCCCGAGGCCUGACAGUUGUCGCCCAGCGCACACCCCCUCCUCACCGCCAGGGCCAAGAGCCUAGCAGCCCCCGCACAAGCAUGUGCUGAACACCCGGCUGAAUCAACAGCGGCCUCAUCCGUGGUCUCCUCCCCGGCAGCUGCUUCGCGGAGAAAUGGCCCCAAAUGACAUAGUUUUAACUUGUUCUUCUUUAGUUUUCUUUUGCUUACACACGAGUGUCUGUAAUUUGCUAAUUCCCUCAUAUCUUCUGCUGCAUUUUUGGUCUCUUGGAUUAGAUUAUAAGAUGUUUGAGAAUGUGGGCUGUCUUAGAAUUACAGAAUCGGGGUGCCUGGGUGGCUCAGUCGGUUAAACGUCUGACUUCGGCUCAGGUCAUGAUCUCACGGCUCAUGAGUUCGAGCCCCGCAUCGGGCUCUGUGCUGACAGCUCCGAGCCUGGAGCCUGCUUCAGAUUCUGUGUCUCCCUCUCUCUCUGACCCUCCCCUGCUCACACUCUGUGUGUGUGUCUCUGUCCAUCCCCUGCUUGUGCUCCCCCCCCCACCCUGAAAUAAUAAAUAAAUUUUAUUUAAAAAAAAACCUAAUGAAAUCCAGGCUUGUGGACAAGUUUAUAAAUAUGGGCAUCUACAUUUUAUAUUCCGUAGAGCUUCAAUGAGACUUAGCACCAUUGUCCCCCAUGCUAUCAUUCUGCCCAUCUUUUCUUCUUUGUCAGGUGAAUUCGUGAACUCCUGGAGGAUGGGGACGAUGACACAUUCAUUUUUAAAUUUCCUAAGUUUCGGGGCGCCUGGGUGGCGCAGUCGGUUAAACAUCCGACUUCAGCCAGGUCACGAUCUCGCGGUCUGUGAGUUCGAGCCCCGCGUCAGGCUCUGGGCUGAUGGCUCAGAGCCUGGAGCCUGUUUCUGAUUCUGUGUCUCCCUCUCUCUCUGCCCCUCCCCCGUUCAUGCUCUGUCUCUCUCUGUCCCAAAAAUAAAUAAACGUUGAAAAAAAAAAUUAAAAAAAAAAAAUUUCCUAAGUUUCUUUCCAGAUGCCAGAGGAAUUAUGAAAUUUUCAUACAUCCAAGAGUCACCUGGAGAGCCCAUAACACGUGCAAACCCCCAGAGCCCUUUGCAGGUGAUUCUGAUUCUGUGUGUCUGAGGCAGGGCCUAGUGAUGUGCAUUUUAUCCAGCUCCCCAGGAAUCCAGGACGGGUGGUCCUCCGAGCACACACUCAUGCUGAGAAAUGCAAACCCGGGGAAUAAGGGGCGUGUGGCGAAAAUGAAUGAAGAAGGAGAAGGGGGCAGGUGAGAGAGGCAGGCUCACUUCUGAUUCCAGAUCUCUCAGAACUCGGCCGCCUUCCCAUCCCUGCCCCACUCACAACGUUUGUGUUCAUUUCCCUUCAGGAGAUGAAAAGGACACCUAAAGCCCUCUGGAGGUGCAAAGCUCAGAUCUGCCAGGUUGGAAGGGGAACGGCUUUUCCCGGGAGACUCGGAAUUAAACUGACAAAAAACAGAUUAGCCAAAGAAGAGAAGAGUUUCUUUAGGCCUGCAACGUGCACACCUGG